GUUUAUUCAGGAGGAAAGCACUUACACUAAUUGGAACGAUACACAGAAGAUUAGCAUAGCCCCUGCCCAAGGAUGGCAUGCCAAUUCGUGAAGCAUUCCAUAUUUUU
Cricetulus griseus (Chinese hamster) is the source of this 107-nucleotide small nuclear RNA. The record is from Ensembl. Lineage: Eukaryota; Metazoa; Chordata; Mammalia; Rodentia; Cricetidae.